UACGGGAGGCAGCAGUGAGGAAUAUUGGACAAUGGCCGGAAGGCUGAUCCAGCCAUGCCGCGUGAAGGAAUAAGGUCCUAUGGAUUGUAAACUUCUUUUGAGUGGGAGCAAUAAGGGUGUCGAGACACCCGAUGAGAGUACCAUUCGAAUAAGCAUCGGCUAACUCCGUGCCAGCAGCCGCGGUAAU
This 187-nucleotide ribosomal RNA is filed under the name uncultured rumen bacterium. RNAcentral describes it as "partial 16S ribosomal RNA". It matches the Rfam family "Bacterial small subunit ribosomal RNA", at positions 340 to 524 of the family's 1533-position model. The record is from RNAcentral.